RNAcentral lists this ribosomal RNA (170 nucleotides) under uncultured sour cassava starch bacterium J1N4. RNAcentral describes it as "partial 16S ribosomal RNA". It matches the Rfam family "Bacterial small subunit ribosomal RNA", at positions 356 to 517 of the family's 1533-position model. The record is from RNAcentral.
AGGGAANCUUCGGCAACGGACGAAAGGCUGACCGAGCAACGCCGCGUGAGGGAAGAAGGGUUUCGGAUCGUAAAACUCUGUUGGUAGAGAAGAACGNUGGUGAGAGUGGAAAGCUCAACAAGGGACGGUAACUACCCAGAAAGGGANGGCUAACUACGUGCCAGCAGCCG